AAUGGGGGAAACCCUGAUCCAGCCAUUCCGCGUGAGUGAAGAAGGCCUUCGGGUUGUAAAGCUCUUUCGGACGGAAAGAAAUCGCCCGGGUAAAUAAUCCGGGUGGACGACGGUACCGUAAGAAUAAGCACCGGCUAACUACGUGCCAGCAGCCGCGGUAAUACGUAGGGUGCAAGCGUUAAUCGGAAUUACUGGGCGUAAAGCGUGCGCAGGCGGUUUUGUAAGACCGCGGUGAAAUCCCCGGGCGCAACCUGGGAACUGCCUUUGUGACUGCAAGGCUGGAGUGCGGCAGAGGGGGAUGGAAUUCCGCGUGUAGCAGUGAAAUGCGUAGAUAUGCGGAGGAACACCGAUGGCGAAGGCAAUCCCCUGGGCCUGCACUGACGCUCAUGCACGAAAGCGUGGGGAGCAAA
RNAcentral lists this ribosomal RNA (410 nucleotides) under uncultured bacterium. Its description in RNAcentral is "bacterial SSU rRNA". It matches the Rfam family "Bacterial small subunit ribosomal RNA", at positions 370 to 772 of the family's 1533-position model. The record is from RNAcentral.